GAGCUGGUCUGAAAUUCGGUCAUCUCUCCAUGAACCGUUCGUUUCGACCCGAAUCAAAAACAAAAGCGAUGUGGUUUGGAGUUUCCUCUCCCACUACUGUUCGGUACGAAUCCCGGUCUUCUACCCUCCGGAUCGAAUCUCGGUGAGACGGCGCAACACUGGCGAGUGGCGACCGAGGAGGCGAAGAGGAGGCUGAGCGAAGUGACGGCACAACACAGCCUCGACGGUGACCCUCCCCGUCGCCUUCUCACUAGUAAGUGUUGCAUCCUACCCUUUGUGUUCUUGAUGUCGUUGAGCACCACGACGACGGGGAUUCAUGUCCGAUUCUCGCCGCCCAGAGAACCAGACCCACACGGGGGGCUCUCUCCCGACACUAGAUGCAAGUGCGCCCCUCGAGCUCGCUGCCCCAUCUCUGCCUCAUCUGCCCCCUUUCUCCUCAUCCCAUCCCUGCUAAGAUUCGUCGUUAGUGCUAAGGUUCCUCGUGUUCUGAAUGGUUUUUGAAUGUACAUGCUACUACUCAAAUCCUGAAGCAAUACCCAAGUAAUACCAAGUCAGUUUUUUUACCGGAAAAAGAAAAGGCAGCAAUACCACCAUUCUUGCUUCCCUUGAAAAGUGCAGCGUUCGGUUAUUGUGGUAACCCUGCAAGAUGAUUGAAAAUGAUGGAUAUACACUGGAUGAAUAGUUAGAGAAUCCAUUAGUUGCAAGCUGAUUCAAAUAGUUUCAGUUUGUGUUUCAGUUUCUGCUUCAGAUUGUCACCAUUCUUACAAGUGUAUCCAUGGUUUAUAUAAACAAAUACACUAGCUGCACAUUUGGAUGUAAAUAUAUGAGCAGUUCAUGUUUAUGCAAUAGAAUACACUAGUUCACUGUCUGAAAAAAUAUGAAGUGAGGCAUAUUUAAUAGAAGGCUUUG
Molecule: long non-coding RNA, 909 nt
Filed under: Zea mays
Lineage: Eukaryota; Viridiplantae; Streptophyta; Magnoliopsida; Poales; Poaceae
Description: long non-coding RNA NONZMAT002358
Source: RNAcentral